GACGAACGCUGGCGGCACGCCUAACACAUGCAAGUCGAGCGAGAAUUUAAAAAUGGAUUCCUUCGGGAUGAAGUUUUUAAGGAAAGCGGCGGACGGGUGAGUAACGCGUGGGUAACCUACCCUAUACUCAGGGAUAGCCACUGGAAACGGUGAAUAAUACCUGAUAAAACUCUAACACCACAUGGUGAAUGAGUCAAAGUUCCGGCGGUAUAGGAUGGACCCGCGUAUCAUUAGCUAGUUGGUGAGGUAACGGCUCACCAAGGCUACGAUGAUUAGCCGGCCUGAGAGGGUGAACGGCCACACUGGAACUGAGACACGGUCCAG
RNAcentral lists this ribosomal RNA (324 nucleotides) under uncultured bacterium. Its description in RNAcentral is "bacterial SSU rRNA". It matches the Rfam family "Bacterial small subunit ribosomal RNA", at positions 28 to 334 of the family's 1533-position model. The record is from RNAcentral.